GACGAACGCUGGCGGCGUGCCUAAUACAUGCAAGUAGAACGCUGAAGGAGGAGCUUGCUUCUCUGGAUGAGUUGCGAACGGGUGAGUAACGCGUAGGUAACCUGCCUGGUAGCGGGGGAUAACUAUUGGAAACGAUAGCUAAUACCGCAUAAUAGCAGUUGUUGCAUGAUAACUGUUUGAAAGGUGCAAUUGCACCACUACCAGAUGGACCUGCGUUGUAUUAGCUAGUUGGUGGGGUAACGGCUCACCAAGGCGACGAUACAUAGCCGACCUGAGAGGGUGAUCGGCCACACUGGGACUGAGACACGGCCCAGACUCCUACGGGAGGCAGCAGUAGGGAAUCGUCGGCAAUGGACGGAAGUCUGACCGAGCAACGCCGCGUGAGUGAAGAAGGUUGUCGGAUCGUAAAGCUCUGUUGUAAGAGAAGAACGAGUGUGAGGGUGGAAAGUUCACACUGUGACGGUAGCUUACCAGAAAGGGACGGCUAACUACGUG
This 495-nucleotide ribosomal RNA is filed under the name uncultured bacterium. RNAcentral's name for it is "partial 16S ribosomal RNA". It matches the Rfam family "Bacterial small subunit ribosomal RNA", at positions 28 to 507 of the family's 1533-position model. The record is from RNAcentral.